UAGGGAAUCUUCCGCAAUGGGCGAAAGCUUGACGGAGCAACGCCGUGUGAGGGAUGAAGGUCUUCGGAUCGUAAAACUCUGUUAUUAGGGAAGAACAAAUGUGUAUGUAACUAUGCACGUCUUGACGGUACCUAAUCAGAAAGCCACGGCUAACUACGUGCCAGCAGCCGCGGUCAGACGUAGGUGGCAAGCGUUAUCCGGAAUUAUUGGGCGUAAAGCGCGCGUAGGCGGUUUUUUAAGUUUGAUGUGAAAGCCCACGGCUCAACCGUGGAGGGUCAUUGGAAACUGGAAAACUUGAGUGCAGAAGAGGAAAGUGGAAUUCCAUGUGUAGCGGUGAAAUGCGCAGAGAUAUGGAGGGACACCAGUGGCGAAGGCGACUUACUGGGCUGUAACUGACGCUGAUGUGCGAAAGCGUGGGGAUCAAACAGG
This 429-nucleotide ribosomal RNA is filed under the name Actinomycetes bacterium. Its description in RNAcentral is "Actinobacteria bacterium partial 16S ribosomal RNA". It matches the Rfam family "Bacterial small subunit ribosomal RNA", at positions 355 to 776 of the family's 1533-position model. The record is from RNAcentral. Lineage: Bacteria; Bacillati; Actinomycetota; Actinomycetes.